GGACGAACGCUGGCGGCGUGCCCUAACACAUGCAAGUCGAACGGAAGUUUUUCUUCGGAGAAACUUUAGUGGCGAACGGGUGAGUAACGCGUGAGAAACCUGCCUCUCAGUGGGGACAACAGUUGGAAACGACUGCUAAUACCGCAUAAUGUAUCCGGAGGGCAUCCUUUGGAUACCAAAGCUUUAUGUGCUGAGAGAUGGUCUCGCGUCUGAUUAGCUAGUUGGCGGGGUAACGGCCCACCAAGGCGACGAUCAGUAGCCGGUCUGAGAGGAUGAACGGCCACAUUGGGACUGAGAUACGGCCCAGACUCCUACGGGAGGCAGCAGUGGGGAAUAUUGGGCAAUGGGCGAAAGCCUGACCCAGCAACGCCGCGUGAAGGAAGAAGGCCUUCGGGUUGUAAACUUCUUUUAGCAGGGACGAAGGACGUGACGGUACCUGCAGAAAAAGCAACGGCUAACUACGUG
RNAcentral lists this ribosomal RNA (465 nucleotides) under uncultured bacterium. RNAcentral's name for it is "bacterial SSU rRNA". It matches the Rfam family "Bacterial small subunit ribosomal RNA", at positions 27 to 507 of the family's 1533-position model. The record is from RNAcentral.